CCUACGGGUGACAGCAGUGGGGAAUAUUGCACAAUGGGGGCAACCCUGAUGCAGCCACGCCGCGUGAAGGAAGACGGCUUUCGGGUUGUAAACUUCUGUUCUUAGUGAAGAAGAAUGACGGUAGCUAAGGAGCAAGCCACGGCUAACUACGUGCCCGCAGCCGCGGUAAUACGGAGGUGGCAAGCGUUGUCCGGACUUACUGGGUGUAAAGGGAGCGCAGGCGGGAAGCCAAGUCAGCUGUGAAAACUACGGGCUUAACUUGUAUAAUGCAGUUGAAACUGGUUGUCUUGAGUGAAGUAGAGGUUGGCGGAAUUCCGGGUGUAGCGGUGAAAUGCGUAGAUAUUCGGAGGAACACUGGUGGCGAAGGCGGCCAACUGGGCUGUAACUGACGCUGAGGCUCGAAAGUGUGGGGAGCAAACAGGAUUAGAUACCCUUGUAGUC
This 441-nucleotide ribosomal RNA is filed under the name uncultured bacterium. Its description in RNAcentral is "partial 16S ribosomal RNA". It matches the Rfam family "Bacterial small subunit ribosomal RNA", at positions 338 to 795 of the family's 1533-position model. The record is from RNAcentral.